UGACGGCCAUAUACCGCUGAAACACCGGUUCUCGUCUGAUCACUGAAGUUAAGCAAGUUUGGUCAGUAACUAGAUAGGUGACCGUUUGGAAAUACCACGUGAUGUAA
Acanthosepion pharaonis is the source of this 107-nucleotide non-coding RNA. Lineage: Eukaryota; Metazoa; Mollusca; Cephalopoda; Sepiida; Sepiidae. The record is from the annotation of a GenBank genome assembly.